Molecule: ribosomal RNA, 428 nt
Filed under: uncultured bacterium
Lineage: Bacteria
Description: bacterial SSU rRNA
Rfam family: Bacterial small subunit ribosomal RNA
Source: RNAcentral
UGGGGAAUAUUGGGCAAUGGGCGAAAGCCUGACCCAGCGACGCCGCGUGGGUGAUGAAGGCCUUCGGGUUGUAAAACCCUUUCGUGCGGAAAGAAUAGUCCUGUAGCGAAUAACUACGGGAUUUGACGGUACCGCAGGAAGAAGCACCGGCUAACUCCGUGCCAGCAGCCGCGGUAAUACGGAGGGUGCAAGCGUUGUUCGGAAUUAUUGGGCGUAAAGGGCGCGUAGGUGGUUGUGAUAGUCAGAUGUGAAACCCUUCGGCUCAACCGAAGAACUGCAUCUGAAACUUCAUAGCUCGAGUACAGGAGAGGGAAACGGAAUUCCCGGUGUAGAGGUGAAAUUCGUAGAUAUCGGGAGGAACACCAGUGGCGAAGGCGGUUUCCUGGCCUGAUACUGACGCUGAGGCGCGAAAGCGUGGGGAGCAAACA